RNAcentral lists this long non-coding RNA (1116 nucleotides) under Cricetulus griseus (Chinese hamster). RNAcentral's name for it is "lncRNA (ENSCGRG00015029887.1)". The record is from RNAcentral. Lineage: Eukaryota; Metazoa; Chordata; Mammalia; Rodentia; Cricetidae.
GGCGUGGCGAGGGAUGCAGUGCGGGUUUGGCCAACUCGGCUGGUCCUGGUGAUCACGAGGAGGGUUCCAAAAGUUGUAGGAACUGGGGACGUUCCAGAAACACCUGCUGUAUUCUUGAGACUUUGUUUGUCCGAAGGAAGCCUUAGAGAAGACAGUCACUGUGGAGCGUAACUAGUGACAGCUUUUUUCUUAGAAGACUUCCCAGUUGUCUUUAGGGGUGGAAUCGGAAGCCCGAUGGAAAAAACAGAAUAGGAAACCUUCUUCCCUGAGAUCCCAAUCAGUUGCCAGAGUUAGAGCCCUAGGGAGGGGUUUUUCUGCAUAAUAUCUGAACGGAGUAGAAGAAUCAUUCUAAAAAAAAUAGUUUAUUUGGAAGUAACUGCCGAUGUGAAAUGUUCAUAUUUGGAGCUUGUGUUAAAAGUCCUACUCAUUUAGGAUUCAGAAGAUUGGCUUUCUGACACCGUAUUCUUUGCACUCAAAGCUUUUAGCUGUAUAGGUUUGCAGAUCGAAAAAUGGCAAAUGGGACCGUGGUAUUUCUAAAUGAAGGGAGCAAGCAAACAUCUGUGUCCCAAUUAGAGACAAGCAUAUGGCCUAUAUUGUCAUUUUCUGAAAUCAGUUGUAUUACAUCCUUUACCUGUGUUAUAGGAGUUGAUCUGCACAAAAGUACCGAGAGACAGGCAGUUUUCCGUUUCACAGAUGAGAAGUUUCAAGUGAUUGAUUUGCCCACACUUUUUUCUGACCUUGGAUUCUGCUUGAUGUUUAAAUAAUUGGUUUGUCAUUGUUACGCCCAGAUAGAGGAGUCCACCAAAGACCACCAAGAAGGCUGAAUCCGUAUGCCAAAGCAAAGAGCCUUUAUUCAAGCUGUAGUUUGGACCCUCCAUGUGUCUGACCCAGAGGCAUCUGACUUCUACGUGACCAAGGCAGGUUUAUGGCAAGCACGUGUUCGGCUGUUAUGGCUGCCAAAAGGGAAGCCGGUUCCUUCAACAUGACUUUACACACACUCUUGAGCUGGAAUUCAUUUUUGAUGAAACCUCUACAUGGCAACAGAGAAACCAGAAAGAAAGAUGCAGUCUCUGCCCUUCUGGAUCUCCAACUACCGCCCAGGAGACGAGCCAACCC